CCAGUGUCCACGUGCUGUUCUGUUCACGGAAGUGAGGUAGUUUUUCUAUGUACAUUGAAGCUGACACAGGAGGCAGCGUUAUGUCGGUAGAAAGUACAGUUUUACAAGAUCACCCUUCGGGGGAAUAUUUCUGGGGAUGUGAAUUGAGUAAAGAACGACAAUCUGUAACGUGGUCAAUUCAAGAGGAAGAUGAAGAUACAGAUUUUAUGCAGCAUACUUUAUUCAUCAAACAUGCUGUACUUGGCGCACAAGCCGUGAAAGACGAAGUAAAUAUUGUUCAAGUUCAAACUAAAAACUACGAUAAUGAAGAAAUAAAACAACCCUUUAUAUCAUUAACUAGAGGAGAAAGCAGUAUGUGUUAUUUAGAUGUUUCUUUUACUGAUAAAUUUCCAGUUACGUUUACAUUAGUAGACGGAUCUGGUCCUAUCUAUAUAUCAGCUGUCCAGUUAGUAGAAUUUCCUGAUGAAGGUAAUCAAACCAUGGAUGAGGAAGGUUUCACGGAGGAAGAAGACGAAGAAACGCCGGAGAAACCCAUAUUGAAGGCCAAAAGAAAAGGAGGGGCUCAGUCUGGAGCUAGUAAAGCUAAGCAGAGAAGUAAGAUGGAAGCGAGUGCCGAUGGAGCUUCAGAUGAAGACAGUGAGGAGGACGACGAUGACGAGGAGGAGGAAGAUGAUGACGACGAGGAAGAAAUGGAUGACGACGAUGAAGAUGAUCCAACUCCAGAAAAGAAAAAACCUAAGAAAAAGAACGUAAAAUCCAAAGCUGCAGCAAAAAAGACUGAAAAACCAAAGGCCAAGAAAACAUUAACUAAAAAGGCGAAGAAGUGACCCUACUUGAGUCUGACGUUUUUAUUUAUUUUCCACGUGAUUUCCUUUUUAAUCAUUCAAGAAACUGAAAACCUAUUAAGAUUAGUGAUUGUUAAAUACGUGAAAUUUGAUGUUAAACUUUGAAAUAUUGCAGUAAAAAGUGCUCUACUUCUUU
Molecule: long non-coding RNA, 981 nt
Organism: Patella vulgata (common limpet)
Lineage: Eukaryota; Metazoa; Mollusca; Gastropoda; Patellidae
Exons: 10
Source: RefSeq, a predicted model, not a curated record